RNAcentral lists this ribosomal RNA (466 nucleotides) under uncultured bacterium. RNAcentral's name for it is "partial 16S ribosomal RNA". It matches the Rfam family "Bacterial small subunit ribosomal RNA", at positions 28 to 507 of the family's 1533-position model. The record is from RNAcentral.
GAUGAACGCUGGCGGCGUGCUUAACACAUGCAAGUCGAACGAUGAAGCCCAGCUUGCUGGGUGGAUUAGUGGCGAACGGGUGAGUAACACGUGAGUAACCUGCCCUUGACUCUGGGAUAAGCCUGGGAAACUGGGUCUAAUACUGGAUAUGACUUCUCAUCGCAUGGUGGGGGGUGGAAAGAUUUAUUGGUCUUGGAUGGACUCGCGGCCUAUCAGCUUGUUGGUGAGGUAAUGGCUCACCAAGGCGACGACGGGUAGCCGGCCUGAGAGGGUGACCGGCCACACUGGGACUGAGACACGGCCCAGUCUCCUACGGGAGGCAGCAGUGGGGAAUAUUGCACAAUGGGCGCAAGCCUGAUGCAGCGACGCCGCGUGAGGGAUGACGGCCUUCGGGUUGUAAACCUCUUUCAGUAGGGAAGAAGCGAGAGUGACGGUACCUGCAGAAGAAGCGCCGGCUAACUACGUG